CCGAGUUUUCACUCCCAAACCCCUGUGAACAUACCAUUUUGUUGCCUCGGCGGUGCCUGUUCCGACAGCCCGCCAGAGGACCCCAAACCCAAACUUCCUUGAGUGAGUCUUCUGAGUAACCGAUUAAAUCAAUCAAAACUUUCAACAACGGAUCUCUUGGUUCUGGCAUCGAUGAAGAACGCAGCGAAAUGCGAUAAGUAAUGUGAAUUGCAGAAUUCAGUGAAUCAUCGAAUCUUUGAACGCACAUUGCGCCCGCCAGUAUUCUGGCGGGCAUGCCUGUUCGAGCGUCAUUACAUCCCUCAAGCCCCCGGGCUUGGUGUUGGGGAUCGGCGAGCCUCAGCGCCCGCCGUCCCCUAAAUUUAGUGGCGGUCACGCUGUAACUUCCUCUGCGUAGUAGCACACUUAGCACUGGGAAACAGCGCGGCCACGCCGUAAAACCCCCCAACUUUUGAACGUUUGACCUCGAAUCAGGUAGGACUACCCGCUGAACUUAAGCAUAUCAAUAAGCGGAGGAA
RNAcentral lists this non-coding RNA (515 nucleotides) under Cylindrocarpon sp. BGS14. RNAcentral's name for it is "contains ITS1, 5.8S rRNA and ITS2". The stretch from base 137 to 290 matches the Rfam family "5.8S ribosomal RNA". Lineage: Eukaryota; Fungi; Ascomycota; Sordariomycetes; Hypocreales; Nectriaceae. The record is from RNAcentral. RNAcentral also lists the same sequence under 1 other name.